UACUCGAGUGGCGAACGGGUGAGUAACACGUGGGUGAUCUGCCCUGCACUUCGGGAUAAGCCUGGGAAACUGGGUCUAAUACCGGAUAGGACGAUGGUUUGGAUGCCAUUGUGGAAAGUUUUUCGGUGUGGGAUGAGCUCGCGGCCUAUCAGCUUGUUGGUGGGGUAAUGGCCUACCAAGGCGUCACGGGUAGCCGGCCUGAGAGGGUGGACGGCCACAUUGGGACUGAGAUACGGCCCAG
This 241-nucleotide ribosomal RNA is filed under the name uncultured Actinomycetales bacterium. RNAcentral describes it as "partial 16S ribosomal RNA". It matches the Rfam family "Bacterial small subunit ribosomal RNA", at positions 88 to 334 of the family's 1533-position model. The record is from RNAcentral. Lineage: Bacteria; Bacillati; Actinomycetota; Actinomycetes; Actinomycetales.